UACGGAGGGUGCUAGCGUUAUUCGGAAUUACUGGGCGUAAAGAGCGCGUAGGCGGUCAGGUAAGUCAGAUGUGAAAGCCCUAGGCUUAACCUAGGAAGUGCAUCUGAAACUAUCUGACUUGAGUACGGGAGAGGGAAGUGGAAUUCCCGGUGUAGAGGUGAAAUUCGUAGAUAUCGGGAGGAACACCGGUGGCGAAGGCGGCUUCCUGGACCGAUACUGACGCUGAGGCGCGAAAGCGUGGGGAG
This 245-nucleotide ribosomal RNA is filed under the name uncultured delta proteobacterium. Its description in RNAcentral is "partial 16S ribosomal RNA". It matches the Rfam family "Bacterial small subunit ribosomal RNA", at positions 524 to 768 of the family's 1533-position model. The record is from RNAcentral. Lineage: Bacteria; Deltaproteobacteria.